Molecule: ribosomal RNA, 366 nt
Filed under: uncultured Glomeromycotina
Lineage: Eukaryota; Fungi; Glomeromycota
Description: LSU rRNA
Source: RNAcentral
UUGAAAGGGAAACGAUUGAAGUCAGUCAUACCAACGGGAAAUCAACCUUUUGAGCUUGGUCUCGUGGGUUUUGAAGAGUUUCAAAGCCUUCGGACUCGCGGGAUUGGGAUCUCUUGGUGUACUUUCUCGUACGGUUAGUCAACAUCGGUUUUGAAUGUCAUAAAAUGACUGGAGGAAUGUAGCUUCUUGAAGUGUUAUAGCCUUUGGUAGAUGUGAUGUUUGAGACCGAGGAUUGCAACGGAUACCCUUCAGGGCUAUUCGUCUGAUCUCUGAUACGUUGCCUUGAUGUUGAAAGCUUGCUUAUGAUGUUAGGGUAUUACGGUCAAAAGGUUAGAACGAAUUACAUUCGUUAAGGAUGUUGACGUA